Oryctolagus cuniculus (rabbit) is the source of this 1640-nucleotide long non-coding RNA. The record is from Ensembl. NCBI's taxonomy places the organism in Eukaryota, Metazoa, Chordata, Mammalia, Lagomorpha, Leporidae.
CUAGAAUCUAGUUCAGAAUAUAUUGUGCAUUGUUUAGACUACAAUAUAUUCCAAAAUAACUGCUUCAUUUUAAUUUUAUCACUAUCAUAUGCUAAUCACUAUGGUCAAGUCUGUAUUUAAGGUUAAGUUUUAAAUCGCUCUACUGUUCUUUGUAAAACCCUUCUGCCUUUUAAAAACAAAUUCUAUUUUUUCAAUCAAAGAUCUUCUAUCUGACCCUAAAAUCUAAAUCCAACCUUAAAUUGAAAAUGAGUAGCUACCUAAUUUCUGUUGAUACAUCAUAGUUUCCUGAGGGAAAAAUAGCCUGGAAAUUAUAAGUGUAACUCUAAAUUCAGCAAGAAACAGAAUUUACUUCCUAGUUGUUUUACCUUACCCAAGUGAUUUAACCUCUGUAAGCCUUUGUUCUCUGUUUUCUGAUGUUAAGGAACAUUUGGGGGUUUAAGUGACAUGCAGUAUUUAUCAGAAUUCUGGUGUAUGUAUGAUAAGAUGUCAAAAGUUGGCAACAAAAGUUCUAUAUUUUAUUCUUAGACUCCCUUUGCUCAUCUCUACUUGCAGGUUUCUUGCCGAUCUUGCUAGCUCUAAUUCAAAGAUCUCUUCUCUGAAGUGCUUUCUGUCCACCCCUACCUUCAGAAGGACUUUUUGAAAUACAUUGGCACAUGAGAGCCUCCUGGUGAAGAACUUCCAGACUGUUCCAGAUCUGUAAAUGAUUGUAGUCUUAGCCUUCCUGUUUCCAGAUCAACAGUGAGAGGUGUAACAAAGCCACAAAACAAGACAAAUAAUUUUCCAAGUACUUAUGGUCUGAAUGUUUGAGACAAGGAAGAUGAAUAGCCUAUGUGAUAAAGGGGGGGGGUGGCUAAGAGAAUCAAAAUAUUGAUAUCAUCACAGAAAGUUAAAAUAUUGAAACUUCUCCAGGGGAUUGCAUGGAUAAUUGUAUAGCGCUCUCUAUUGGCUGAGUAGAAUAUUGGGCUCUGGGGACCUGGAAAUGAUCCAGAUAUAGUCAAUACACGAAAAGAAAAGUCUUAUUUGCAUUCUUACUAUGUGAGAGAGCAGAAUUAAACCCACACCAAAAGCACUGAACAAAAAUAGCCUUUAUGAGGGCAGGGGCCAGAGUGGGGGGAUGGGGAGAGAGAGUUUGUGUUGUAUGUGUUUGGAGAAGGGAACAAAAUGUUGUGGAUAUUUUAGUAUCAAUUUAUUCCUCGUCACUUUACUGCCCUUCUCCCAUUUAACAGGUCUGGCUUCUGGGAACAUCUGUCUGAUUUAAAACUUAGCUCUAUGUGAAUGAUAUUUAGACAGGAAUAACCAAUUUCCAAAUAACAGCUGUAGUGCAAAUAGUGCAAUAGGGACAGGUAAUAUUUUAUCACUGCCUGUAGUUCACACUCAGUUCAUAAAAUUACUUUCUGUGGGAGCCAACCUCUUAAGUCAUUCGGACUCAAUAGUGCUACUCACUGGGCAAUCUUGAAAGAGCAGGGUUGAAUUAAUUAGGCAAUGGAAAAACCUAACUGGGAAUAAUGGGGUUCCUGUGUGCAUUUGGAUAGCUUUGAUAGGCAGCCCUUACAAGAGAACAGGAGCUCCAAUGUAAGCUUAGUGAGCCUGGGAGUCCAGGCCAGACAAAGCAAGCAUGAUCAUUGCUUUUCUAACCCAGG